CCGCCGGCGACCGGCGCACGGGUGAGUAACACGUAUGCAACCUGGCCGUGACAGAUGGAUAACCGGGAGAAAUCCCGCCUAAUACAACAUAAUGCCGGGAGGGGACAUCCCCUGCCGGCCAAAGGGGGCGACCCCGGUCACGGAUGGGCAUGCGGCGCAUUAGGUAGUUGGUGGGGCAACGGCCCACCAGGCCGACGAUGCGUAGGGGUUCUGAGAGGAAGGUCCCCCACAUUGGAACUGAGACACGGUCCAAACUCCUACGGAAGGCAGCAG
RNAcentral lists this ribosomal RNA (273 nucleotides) under uncultured bacterium. RNAcentral describes it as "partial 16S ribosomal RNA". It matches the Rfam family "Bacterial small subunit ribosomal RNA", at positions 85 to 354 of the family's 1533-position model. The record is from RNAcentral.